This is a microRNA precursor of Oreochromis aureus, 57 nucleotides long. Lineage: Eukaryota; Metazoa; Chordata; Actinopteri; Cichliformes; Cichlidae. The record is from Ensembl.
UGUGAUUAACAAACAGUUAUUUGACGUUUUCCUCCCAUACUGUUUGUUAAUCACACU